Molecule: long non-coding RNA, 355 nt
Filed under: Nicotiana benthamiana
Lineage: Eukaryota; Viridiplantae; Streptophyta; Magnoliopsida; Solanales; Solanaceae
Description: long non-coding RNA (NBEN_LNC032904)
Source: RNAcentral
UUGGAGGGAAGGAUGUAGGGGUCUAUUUGGAAACAGCCUCUCUAUCCCAGGGUAGGGGUAAGGUCUGCAUACACACUACCCUCCCCAGACCCUACUAAAUGGGAUUAUACUGAGUUGUUGUUGUUGUUAAUUUUACAGCGAAGGCAAAAAGAAAUAUUUCUAGAGAACAAGAAAAAAUUCAAUUGUAGCUAAGUGUUUGAGUGAUAAGCCCAAGGAUGGGUGUAUAGUCAAUAGUUUUACAGCAGGAGUUGGUCAACAAAGAAGCAGCAGGGUGCGCAAAUCGCAGUUUCUGAGAAGUGAGUACAGGAUGCUACAAAAGUAACUUGUUAUAAGCACGUUGAGAAAAUUGGGAAAC